UCUCCAGGUCCCUCCAUGUCGUCUCAAAGGGAUUGGAUGACAAGGUUCAGAAACCAACUUUGGCUAACUCUCAGAAAGCAGAGGCUGUCGAAGUCCCCAAAUGGAGGUGCACUGGAGAAUCGAGGCAGCUCCUGAAGGUACCCGGACAACCAUGGUCUGAAAAUAUUAAAUGGAAGAUUUCA
Molecule: long non-coding RNA, 182 nt
Organism: Molossus molossus (Pallas's mastiff bat)
Lineage: Eukaryota; Metazoa; Chordata; Mammalia; Chiroptera; Molossidae
Exons: 3
Source: RefSeq, a predicted model, not a curated record